This 7029-nucleotide long non-coding RNA is filed under the name Marmota monax (woodchuck). The record is from RNAcentral. Lineage: Eukaryota; Metazoa; Chordata; Mammalia; Rodentia; Sciuridae.
GAAUCCCGCGUCUCACAAGCCACCUCCUCCACGAGCGGCCGAGAGCCUAGUGGCCGCUCCGGCUCCGCCUCCGCCGCCGCCGCCGCCGCCUCCCCCUCCUCCUCCUCCGCCGCCGCCUCCGGCCACAGCCCUAACAGCUUCCUCAGCGCCCCUGACGCUGGAGGAGGAGCUGCAGGAAGCCAUCCGGAGGGCGCAGGUGAGAGGGUGCCGGAUCAAGUGGGUCUGGGAUGGUGGGUCUCCGCUCAGGUUCUGGGUGGGAUGCCAGAUUCACGCCGCGUCUGUUCGUCCACAGCUGCUUCCGAAUCGGGGCAUUGAUGACAUCCUGGAGGACCAGAUGGAGCCUGAUGGUAAGAGCCUAACUCCUGAGUUUGGGGGAGAAGGGGCCUGAGGUUCUGCACUCCUGGGUCCGAGGAAAGAAUGGGCUGAGGAACAGAACCAGAUCCAUGACUUCCUAAGCUCACACUCCAUUCCUUCCCCCGCAGACCCGCUGCCCCCCAUUCCUCUGGAUUUUCCUGGCUCCUUCGACGUGCUGUCCCCCUCCCCGGACUCUGAAGGCCUCUCAUCUGUCUUCUCCUCGUCACUCCCAACCCCCACGAACUCCCCAUCCACCUCUCCCAGAGGCCCCACGGAUUCCUUGGACUGGUUAGAGGCCCUGAGUGGGGGUCCUCCACUGGGCUCUGGCCCUCCAGCCCCCAGCAUCUUCUCUGCUGACUUAUCUGACUCCAGUGGCACCCGGCUCUGGGACCUGCUGGAGGAUCCGUGGUGAUGGGUUCUGGAGUUUUACAGGGACCCAGAACUGGUGGGGGUGAAGAUGGCAAAGAGACUCCGGGAAGGGAAAUGGAACAACUAGUAGAGCCCCUCCCACCACAGACACCCAAUCCCAAUCUGGCCCCUAACUGCUGCUGACAUGCCGAAUGCCUGGACUUUGCCUUCCUACGGGCCUUACCCCCUCUAUGGUUGUGUGGUUGGGGAUGGAGGUUCAUUUGCUGCUGCCCAAGGCAAACAAGCUGCUUUCUGCUUCCUUUUGAGACCUCAUGGAUGUUCUUAAUGCCCGUUUCCUCACAGAUACAUACAGAUGGAUGCCUGUUGUGUGGCAAAGCUGAAGGGGGAUAUGCUGUUGGAUGCAGGAAAGGGGCAGGGAAGAGUAGGGAGGGACAAGAGGGUAGCCAGACCCCUGGGUUCCAGUUGGAUCAGAAGUGUUGUGUCUGAAGUCAGCUUCUGUUGGAGGCACAGAGACAAGAUGUCCACACCAGUGAUUUGUUUAAGAAAUGCUUUCCAGGAGAGAUACUGAGGGACUGGAGACAGACAGACUAGAGGAAGAAAAGGAGCCAGAGUGUGCCCUCAGGUGAAGUCUCAGCUUCAGCCUCUUCCCCUGGGGAGUUCUGGAGCAUAAAUUGAGCUACAGACUUUUCCACCUUGGGGUGCAUGGAACUAGGCCUUUGAAUCUCCCUGUCUGUGCUUUCUAUUGCUAAAGCCACAAAGCAGUAACCAUCUGAAAUCACUCACGAUUUCAUGGAUUCACUGGGCUCCAUGGGAUAUUCCUUCAGCUCUGCAUGAUUAUAGCCAGGGCUACAGUCGUCUUGGGGCCCAGCUGGGCAGGGGCACCUAAGAUGGCACUCUGGUGCCUUGGCAGAGGUAGCCAGAAGGGCCAUGGGGACUUCGGGACUCUCAUUCACCAUGGAGCAUCAGCGUUCUCCCUUUCCGUGGGGUAGCUUGGGACUCUGGAAGAGCAAGCAUUCCAAGGGGAGAUUGCAGAAUAUUCCAGUCUCUUGAAACAGGUACAAUUUCACUCUACUACAUUAAUGACAGGUACAAUCUCACAUCUGCUACUUAAAGGAAGUCAGGUCAGUUCAGGCUGAAUAUGGUGGGGGGCUAGACAGGGAUAUCAGGGGUAUGCCCAUAGGGAGCCAUAUUUGGAGACCUGCCACUGCACCAUCUCCAGUAGUCAUGGGUCAGGGGUCACAGGAGGGAGUAAGGAAGGGAAGACAUAAACUUCCAGGUAAUUUCAGCCCAAAGGCAGUCCUGGGAAGAGAGCCAUGGGGUAUGCCUCCAGCAGGAGUGUGUUAAAAUAUAGAGUUUAUUAUUUCAGAGGUGGUGAGGCAACAGGCGAAAACUGCAUCACCAUUCAUUCAAAAGACAGUUUGUUAUAGUCCCAUGUCCCAAAAGAAAGGGACACUGGACACCAUGCAGGACCCCAGGGGAUGCCUAGAGCUGGUCUAGAGAGCAGGAGAGGAGGGGACAACAGACAAGAGCCUUCACUGUGGAGUCCCUGGGAGCAAAGGAAGGGCAAGGUACUCAGGCUUAGGAUUGGCCAGUUUGAAUCAUUUCAGUGGACUUUGGGGCAUAAAGGCUGUAAGCAAAAAUAACCAACUGGGGACAGACCUCGAUGGAUUAAUGAUGCUUUUAUUAAGCCACAGAGGAAUGCAUUUUGGGGGAGAAAAAUGGCAGCAUGCUACAACAGGGUUCUGAGUUUUCUAGGGUUCAGCAGACACAGGUCAUCGGUGAGUUGGUUUGGCAGGCUCAUUUAGAGUAGGACAGGAGGGCAGGUAGGGCAGUUCCUGGGGCCUAUUGUCCUGGGGUCCUUUUGUAUUUUCCCUUCCUGCCUUCUCUCCAGUUGAGGCUCAGGCUUCUAAAUGUCAAAAGCUCCAAUUUACCACAGCCAUCUCUCUGUGAUGGGUGAGGAAGGCGGGUGAGGAGACAGCUGCAGAUAGGGGACUUGCCCCCGGGCCUAUUCUCCAUAUCCUUCAGAGGCUGUCCUGAGUUGCCAGGGACCUAGCCCUGGGGUGGUGGGCAGGUGGGUGUAAGAGUCCCUUAAAGGAGGUGGGGGGACAUGGGUUCUGGGUUGGCUGGUUGCUUAAGGAAGGUGCUGACAGGGGUGUCUUUUACUAUCUAGCAAUUGGUGGCCCUAGGAGGGAUGGUUGCUCCAGGGUCACCAAGGCCCCAGAGUCACAGCAGCUGAAAAUAAAAAAGGCACAAUUAAGGGCUGGGGGUUGGGCGUCCAGAGAUGGUGAGAGUCUGAGAGGACCUGGGCGAGCCACCAAUAGUUCUUUCCACUGCAGGGGGAAAGAACAGCAGAUCAAGGACAUGUGAUGUGGCUUGGAGCCACCGACUUCCCUAAUGUCUGUACCUACAGCCCAGGGUGGACAAGUGUUCACUGAGACUACCACAAAUGGGACCUGAUGUGCGGGACGUGCCAACCCAUAGCAAACAGCUUUAGUAGCUGCUGAUCUGUUCCAGACCCUCCAUGUACAACAGCUCUGGGGGCAUCAGGGAUCCGCGAUGAAGGGAAGGGAAUAGACAUGUGGACUUGGCCUGGGCAGAGGCACUUUUCCAUGUCUCCAAGCCAGAUAGCAUUCGUCAUCUUCCCUUUGCAGAGACUGCUGAAGAUAGAGGAGAGGCGAGAUGGGCCCUGGGCCCACAGAUGGGAGGAACUGCCCAGGGAUUUGACUGAAGAGCCCACAGCCUGUGCUUUUAGAGUGGGAAACGGAGCACGUCAGCCUCCCCUAUGGCAAAGCCCAUGGACCUGCAGAGAGCCUUCUGCAGUCUCACGCGCAGGGUGCUGUCCGGGUGGUCGUGGUGGAGGGGACUGUGGGGCUGUGGCCCCCAGAAAAGACAGCCUGGAGAGAUGAGGCCUUUUUAUUGAGCCUUGAAGGAUGGGGAGUUGGGCGGAGGAACCACCUGGGUCUUUGCUCUCUUCCUUCAUCUUUGCUGAAGGAAGAGAGCGGGUCAAGUCCUGCAGGUGCGUGGGCCUCUGGCCUCUGGCCACUGGGGGCAGGUGGAGAAAUCAGGGUGGCUGGCUCAGCUGGUGAUGUGGGCGGGGAGGGAGGGGCAGCGGUGCAGGCAGCCCUAGGAAGACCAGGAAGGGGCAUGACGGGGCUUCCUGUCUUUCUCUGGAGUCUUCGGACUGUAUCCCUUUUCAUAUCAAUCUGUCCCCAUCUGUGUCUGACUGCUGAGGUCCCUCACUGUCCCAUUCUGUCCUACACUUAUUCUCUCCAUAGCUCUUGUGUCUCUGGUCUGUCCUCUGCCUGUUCCCUGCUGUGGUCUCUGUCUUUGCUCCCUCCUGCCCUUUUAUCCUGCCCCAUCCAUGGCCUCCUUCUGUCUCUGCCUUCUUACAGUGGAGGGCACCCAGCUCGGCCAGCUCUCACUUCCCACCCACAGCCCCCAUCUCGCCUGCAUCUGGAGGAGGGCAGGCUCGCGCUGAGAGUACACUGGGGGCCCUCCACAGCCCCAAAGACUCAGGGCCAGGAUGACGGAGGGAUUCUCCAGAAGGCGGACUGGGCUUGGGUGGGAGUGUGGGCUUGAGUCCAGCAUUCCCUGCCACCACCUGUGACCCCACGUUUCAGUCCCUUCCUCUGGCCCUGAGGAGAGCCAGGGCUGGACCUGUGGGAUGUCCAUGGGGAGUCCUGUUGCGAUGGGCAAAAGGUGCGACUUAUGCAGUCAAGGGGGAGAAAUAAAGAAAGUCCACGUGUUCUGCCCUUUUCAGUGCUUUACUCACUCAAAUCACUCAAUACAAUUUCACUCUGUAGGUUCUUAAACAAGAAAAUGAUCAUCCUUAAUGCUGGGCACUGCAAUAGACAUAGUCAGUUCACAGCAAUCAGUUCUAGAUUAGUUCUAAGCACUGCAAACAGCACCUCAGCUACNCCACCUUGGGGUGCAUGGAACUAGGCCUUUGAAUCUCCCUGUCUGUGCUUUCUAUUGCUAAAGCCACAAAGCAGUAACCAUCUGAAAUCACUCACGAUUUCAUGGAUUCACUGGGCUCCAUGGGAUAUUCCUUCAGCUCUGCAUGAUUAUAGCCAGGGCUACAGUCGUCUUGGGGCCCAGCUGGGCAGGGGCACCUAAGAUGGCACUCUGGUGCCUUGGCAGAGGUAGCCAGAAGGGCCAUGGGGACUUCGGGACUCUCAUUCACCAUGGAGCAUCAGCGUUCUCCCUUUCCGUGGGGUAGCUUGGGACUCUGGAAGAGCAAGCAUUCCAAGGGGAGAUUGCAGAAUAUUCCAGUCUCUUGAAACAGGUACAAUUUCACUCUACUACAUUAAUGACAGGUACAAUCUCACAUCUGCUACUUAAAGGAAGUCAGGUCAGUUCAGGCUGAAUAUGGUGGGGGGCUAGACAGGGAUAUCAGGGGUAUGCCCAUAGGGAGCCAUAUUUGGAGACCUGCCACUGCACCAUCUCCAGUAGUCAUGGGUCAGGGGUCACAGGAGGGAGUAAGGAAGGGAAGACAUAAACUUCCAGGUAAUUUCAGCCCAAAGGCAGUCCUGGGAAGAGAGCCAUGGGGUAUGCCUCCAGCAGGAGUGUGUUAAAAUAUAGAGUUUAUUAUUUCAGAGGUGGUGAGGCAACAGGCGAAAACUGCAUCACCAUUCAUUCAAAAGACAGUUUGUUAUAGUCCCAUGUCCCAAAAGAAAGGGACACUGGACACCAUGCAGGACCCCAGGGGAUGCCUAGAGCUGGUCUAGAGAGCAGGAGAGGAGGGGACAACAGACAAGAGCCUUCACUGUGGAGUCCCUGGGAGCAAAGGAAGGGCAAGGUACUCAGGCUUAGGAUUGGCCAGUUUGAAUCAUUUCAGUGGACUUUGGGGCAUAAAGGCUGUAAGCAAAAAUAACCAACUGGGGACAGACCUCGAUGGAUUAAUGAUGCUUUUAUUAAGCCACAGAGGAAUGCAUUUUGGGGGAGAAAAAUGGCAGCAUGCUACAACAGGGUUCUGAGUUUUCUAGGGUUCAGCAGACACAGGUCAUCGGUGAGUUGGUUUGGCAGGCUCAUUUAGAGUAGGACAGGAGGGCAGGUAGGGCAGUUCCUGGGGCCUAUUGUCCUGGGGUCCUUUUGUAUUUUCCCUUCCUGCCUUCUCUCCAGUUGAGGCUCAGGCUUCUAAAUGUCAAAAGCUCCAAUUUACCACAGCCAUCUCUCUGUGAUGGGUGAGGAAGGCGGGUGAGGAGACAGCUGCAGAUAGGGGACUUGCCCCCGGGCCUAUUCUCCAUAUCCUUCAGAGGCUGUCCUGAGUUGCCAGGGACCUAGCCCUGGGGUGGUGGGCAGGUGGGUGUAAGAGUCCCUUAAAGGAGGUGGGGGGACAUGGGUUCUGGGUUGGCUGGUUGCUUAAGGAAGGUGCUGACAGGGGUGUCUUUUACUAUCUAGCAAUUGGUGGCCCUAGGAGGGAUGGUUGCUCCAGGGUCACCAAGGCCCCAGAGUCACAGCAGCUGAAAAUAAAAAAGGCACAAUUAAGGGCUGGGGGUUGGGCGUCCAGAGAUGGUGAGAGUCUGAGAGGACCUGGGCGAGCCACCAAUAGUUCUUUCCACUGCAGGGGGAAAGAACAGCAGAUCAAGGACAUGUGAUGUGGCUUGGAGCCACCGACUUCCCUAAUGUCUGUACCUACAGCCCAGGGUGGACAAGUGUUCACUGAGACUACCACAAAUGGGACCUGAUGUGCGGGACGUGCCAACCCAUAGCAAACAGCUUUAGUAGCUGCUGAUCUGUUCCAGACCCUCCAUGUACAACAGCUCUGGGGGCAUCAGGGAUCCGCGAUGAAGGGAAGGGAAUAGACAUGUGGACUUGGCCUGGGCAGAGGCACUUUUCCAUGUCUCCAAGCCAGAUAGCAUUCGUCAUCUUCCCUUUGCAGAGACUGCUGAAGAUAGAGGAGAGGCGAGAUGGGCCCUGGGCCCACAGAUGGGAGGAACUGCCCAGGGAUUUGACUGAAGAGCCCACAGCCUGUGCUUUUAGAGUGGGAAACGGAGCACGUCAGCCUCCCCUAUGGCAAAGCCCAUGGACCUGCAGAGAGCCUUCUGCAGUCUCACGCGCAGGGUGCUGUCCGGGUGGUCGUGGUGGAGGGGACUGUGGGGCUGUGGCCCCCAGAAAAGACAGCCUGGAGAGAUGAGGCCUUUUUAUUGAGCCUUGAAGGAUGGGGAGUUGGGCGGAGGAACCACCUGGGUCUUUGCUCUCUUCCUUCAUCUUUGCUGAAGGAAGAGAGCGGGUCAAGUCCUGCAGGUGCGUGGGCCUCUGGCCUCUGGCCACUGGGGGCAGGUGGAGAAAUCAGGGUGGCUGGCU